GGUUGAAAAUUUUAUUCAUUUCUACUUUUUAAAAUUGGUAUAGUUGACAAAAUAACUAGACAGUUACACAUGGCGUGCCACAUGUACCUCACGCUGACAUGUAGGAGCUGAUUUUUAACAGUAAAAAUGAAUGAAAUUUUUAACA
Gossypium hirsutum (cotton) is the source of this 145-nucleotide non-coding RNA. The record is from Rfam. NCBI's taxonomy places the organism in Eukaryota, Viridiplantae, Streptophyta, Magnoliopsida, Malvales, Malvaceae.